Molecule: long non-coding RNA, 1822 nt
Organism: Hemicordylus capensis (graceful crag lizard)
Lineage: Eukaryota; Metazoa; Chordata; Lepidosauria; Squamata; Cordylidae
Exons: 3
Source: RefSeq, a predicted model, not a curated record
UGAAGUACAACUCCUAGAAAGCACUGCAAGCCUCAAAGAAACAACUAACAGCUGGCUCCUUUUAACCUGAGCAUAUUGUGGAGGGUGGAGGCAUUGAAAUCUCUGGCUGCUCUCUUGCAUAAAUUUCCCAUCUCCUGCCUUGGGUAGUGGCUGCUUUUUCUUCUGUGGGAAUUUGCUGAUCUUGGAACUCCAAGUAACCUGUACAGGCUUCUUGAAGCAUCUCGGCAAAUAUGAGGCUCAGAGUCAUUUGGAAGAACCUCAGUACACCAAUCUGGACUGCUCUCAUUUAUUCUCGGGCUGCCUAUUGUCUGUAGCUAUGCUGGUGACAUUAACAUGGAGGACCAAAUAUCAACAGGCCCCCCAAUAGCCCAACGAUCUAAGAAAGGAAGGCUUGUGAGGUACCUUACUAGACAGCAAACACUUCACAGAGAACAUAUCACAUAUCAAUGCUCAGUCUGUAGCAAAACCUUCAGGAGGAAUUCACAACUCACUAAACAUCAAACAACUCACACAGAAGAGAAACUAUAUAUGUGUUCCAUGUGUGGAAAGACCUUCAGGCGAUGCCAAAACCUUACUCAACAUGAAAGAACCCACAAAGGAGAGAAACCAUAUACAUGCUUGCAGUGUGGGAAGAGUUUUUCUUCUAUCAAAAACGUUACUGCCCAUUCAAGAAUCCACACAGGGGAAAAGCCAUACACCUGUCUGCAGUGUGGGAAAACCUUUAGUCAGAAACAGCAUCUUACUGGACAUCAAAGAACCCACACAGGGUAGAAACCAUAUUCAUGCUCGCAGUGUGGGAAAAGCUUCACUCAGAAAAUUAAUUUUAAUACACAUGAAAGAACCCACACAGGGGAGAAACCAUAUUCAUGCUUGCAGUGUGGGAAAAGCUUCACUCAGAAAAUUAAUUUUACUACACAUGAAAGAACCCACACAGGGGUGAAACCAUAUUCAUGCUUGCAGUGUGGAAAAAGCUUUGUUCACAAAACUUAUCUUUCUAAACACAAAAGAACCCACACAGGGGAGAAACCAUAUUUAUGCUCAAACUGUGGUAAAAGCUUUGCUCAGAAAUCUGAUCUUACUAGACAUGAAAGAACCCACACAAUGGAGAAGUCAUUGUCCUGCCCACUGUGCGGAAAAAGCUUCACUCGGAAACCGCAGUUUACUAGACAUCAAAGAACUCAUGAAGUGAAGACACCAUAGACAUGCUUGGAGGGUGGAGAGACUUUCUAUCAUUAAUCAACCCUUCAUGCACAUGAAAGAAGUCACAGAAGGGAGACAUUGUAAAAUGCCGGCUGCAUUCUGAGCUUUGAUGAUGAAUGAGGACUAAGUGAACAUGAGAAAAUACACAAAGAAGAGCAAACCUGACUACUUGGAGUUUGGAAAGAGCUUCUGUCACAACACAUGCUACUUUUUGCUUCAAGCAGUCAACACAGGCAAAAUUUCAGUCUUUUUGUCACCAUGUAAUUAUGACCUUGAGUGUUCUACACUUCUGAGCUGUGGGAGCUUCAUCGUCUCGAGCACAUUUAAGGGGCUGCUCAAUGAGGAACUCCAUGGUGGUUUUUAUUGUGGUUUUUUAAAAAUUGUAUAUUGAACUGGGUUCAAUGUUUUUAAAUGCUUUGAUUAAAAAAGGAGGAGAAAUGUGAUCAGAAGCUUUUUACAUUGAUGGCAUUGCAAGCUGGCAUUGCAGCUAUCAUCUUUUGAGGCAUCCGAGCAUUCAGCAGCAGUGGAAUAGAAACGUUUGCUGCUUUUUAGCUGUUUUUUAAUCUCAGUAUUGGAAUGUUUUAACUGUGCUUACUAAUAAAGUCACAUUAUUUUACCCAAA